GUCCACGCCCUAAACGAUGUCUACUAGUUGUUGGUGGAGUAAAAUCCAUGAGUAACGCAGCUAACGCGUGAAGUAGACCGCCUGGGGAGUACGGUCGCAAGAUUAAAACUCAAAUGAAUUGACGGGGGCCCGCACAAGCGGUGGAUUAUGUGGAUUAAUUCGAUGCAACGCGAAAAACCUUACCUGGCCUUGACAUGUAACGAACUUUCCAGAGAUGGAUUGGUGCUCGAAAGAGAGCGUUAACACAGGUGCUGCAUGGCUGUCGU
RNAcentral lists this ribosomal RNA (266 nucleotides) under uncultured bacterium. RNAcentral's name for it is "partial 16S ribosomal RNA". It matches the Rfam family "Bacterial small subunit ribosomal RNA", at positions 793 to 1055 of the family's 1533-position model. The record is from RNAcentral.